AGUUUGAUCAUGGCUCAGGACGAACGCUGGCGGCGCGCUUAACACAUGCAAGUCGAGCGAGAACCAGGCCUUCGGGCCUGGGGACAGCGGCGAACGGGUGAGUAACACGUGGGUAAUCAACCCUCGAUACUGGGAUAGCCCGGGGAAACCCGGAUUAAUACCGGAUGGCCCUUUGGAUUCUCGGAUCUGAAGGAAAAGGUAGCUUCGGCCUCCGAUCGAGGACGAGCCCGCGGCGGAUUAGCUUGUUGGUGAGGUAACGGCUCACCAAGGCGACGAUCCGUAGCUGGUCUGAGAGGACGAUCAGCCACACUGGGACUGAGACACGGCCCAGACUCCUACGGGAGGCAGCAGUGGGGAAUCUUGCGCUAAUGCGGGAAACCGUGACGCAGCGACGCCGCGUGAGGGAAGAAGGCCUUCGGGUUGUAAACCUCUUUCAGGAGGGACGAAGCCACUCGGGUUAAUAGCCCAGAGGGUGACGGUACCUCCAGAAGAAGCCCCGGCUAACUACGUGCCAGCAGCCGCGGUAAUACGUAGGGGGCAAGCGUUGUCCGGAUUUAUUGGGGCGUAAAGAGCGUGUAGGCGGCUAGAUAGGUCCGUUGUGAAAACUCGAGGCUCAACCUCGAGACGUCGAUGGAAACCAUCUGGCUAGAGUCCGGAAGAGGAGAGUG
Molecule: ribosomal RNA, 668 nt
Filed under: uncultured bacterium
Lineage: Bacteria
Description: bacterial SSU rRNA
Rfam family: Bacterial small subunit ribosomal RNA
Source: RNAcentral